GGGUGCGAUAAUACCAGCACUAAUGCAUCGGAUCCCAUCAGAACUUCACAGUUAAGGGUGCUUGGGCGAGAGUAGUACUGGGGUGGGUGACCUCCUCGGAAGUCCUCGUGUUGCACCCA
This 119-nucleotide ribosomal RNA is filed under the name Cephalotus follicularis. Lineage: Eukaryota; Viridiplantae; Streptophyta; Magnoliopsida; Oxalidales; Cephalotaceae. The record is from RNAcentral.